GAUGAACGCUGGCGGCGUGCCUAAUACAUGCAAGUCGAGCGAAUGGAUUGAGAGCUUGCUCUUAUGAAGUUAGCGGCGGACGGGUGAGUAACACGUGGGUAACCUGCCCAUAAGACUGGGAUAACUCCGGGAAACCGGGGCUAAUACCGGAUAACAUUUUGAACCGCAUGGUUCGAAAUUGAAAGGCGGCUUCGGCUGUCACUUAUGGAUGGACCCGGGUCGCAUUAGCUAGUUGGUGAGGUAACGGCUCACCAAGGCAACGAUGCGUAGCCGACCUGAGAGGAGGAUCGGCCACACUGGGACUGAGGCACGGCCCAGACUCCUACGGGAGGCAGCAGUAGGGAAUCUUCCGCAAUGGACGAAAGUCUGACGGAGCAACGCCGCGUGAGUGAUGAAGGCUUUCGGGUCGUAAAACUCUGUUGUUAGGGAAGAACAAGUGCUAGUUGAAUAAGCUGGCACCUUGACGGUACCUAACCAGAAAGCCACGGCUAACUACGUGCCAGCCGCCGCAGUAA
Molecule: ribosomal RNA, 515 nt
Filed under: uncultured bacterium
Lineage: Bacteria
Description: partial 16S ribosomal RNA
Rfam family: Bacterial small subunit ribosomal RNA
Source: RNAcentral